GCCUGGGUGGCUCAGUCGGUUAAGCAUCUGACUCUGGCUCAGGUCAUGAUCUCACGGUCCGUGAGUUCGAGCCCCACGUCGGGCU
RNAcentral lists this transfer RNA (85 nucleotides) under Felis catus (domestic cat). It matches the Rfam family "tRNA". Rfam says of the family: Transfer RNA (tRNA) molecules are approximately 80 nucleotides in length. Their secondary structure includes four short double-helical elements and three loops (D, anti-codon, and T loops). Lineage: Eukaryota; Metazoa; Chordata; Mammalia; Carnivora; Felidae. The record is from Rfam by way of RNAcentral.